Molecule: long non-coding RNA, 529 nt
Filed under: Homo sapiens (human)
Lineage: Eukaryota; Metazoa; Chordata; Mammalia; Primates; Hominidae
Description: HSALNT0408437
Source: RNAcentral
UUAAGCAAGAUGAUUCCUCUGCUAGUACCUCCCAGUCCACUCGAGCUGCUUCUAUCUUUGGAGGGGCAAAGCCUGUUGACACAGCUGCUAGAGAAAGAGAAGUAGAAGAACGGCUACAGAAGGAACAAGAGAAGUUGCAGCGUCAGCUGAGUGAGCCAAAACUAGAACGACGGCCUCGGGAGAGACACCCAAGCUGGCCAAACUGGGAACUCUAGCCGUGGUCCAGGAGACGGAGGGAACAAAGACCACUGGAAGGAGUCAGAUAGGAAAGAUGGCAAAAAGGAUCAAGACUCCAGAUCUGCACCUGAGCCAAAGAAACCUGAGGAAAAUCCAGCUUCCAAGUUCAGUUCUGCAAGCAACUAUGCUGCUCUCUCUUGAUGGUGAAGAUGAAAAUGAGGGAGAAGAUUAUGCCGAAUAGACCUCUACAUCCUGUGCUUUUCUCCUAGUUUCUCUCCACCCUGGAACAUUCGAGAGCAAAUCAAAACCUCUAUCCAGACAAGACAAAAUAAAACUCACCAUCUCCUGAAGA